AGAGAGAGAGAAGGAGAAAGGGAGAGAAAGGGGGGCACAACACACAGUUAAGGUUUGAUGACAGAGGAGAAGGAUGGUCAUAUAUCCCUAGGACUUAAAGAGAGGAGACUGAUUGUUCUGACAGAGAAGAUGUGCUGGCUGCCGAUAGACCAGCCUCUGCUCCUGCCCGGUGACUCCACCUGCAGCUCCCGCGGACCCUCACCGUGCUCCGUGGCUCAGCUGCUCGCCUCCCGCCUGAGAAGGAUCGGGGACCAGCUGGAGAAGAGCUGGACGGCCGGCGAGACGGAGAACAGCUUCAGCUGCGGAGUCAGAGGGACGGUGGUGGUGGUGACCGGGCGAGGACACCUGAGGAGCCUCCUGCGCACUGCUAUACACUUCACCGUGCUCGUGCUGGUGGUCGUGAGGAGACACCUGUAGGGCGUGAUGAGGCAACACCAGCAACAGAUGGUGCCUUUAGGACCAUGCAUGAGGAGCGGACAUAUUUGUACUGAAAGCAGGAGAUGGAGAGUAGGAGAGCCGGAGGAUGUGGUGCAGGAGGAGGAGGAGGUGUGCAUCGAUGAAAAGACAGAGGAAGAAGAAAAUAAAGGAGGAUUAAAUGCACAUUUCAGGGUCAGGAUCCUGUGUCUGAAUGAGCUCCAUGCGUCGCAGAGACUUGCUCAGGCUGAAUGUGGACGCACUGAGUUUUCUAAGGAGCUGACACACUGAACCCCAGCCGCCCUGCAGUCAGUCAGCUGCACGUCCUGCCCCCUGCGUGACUCUCCCAUUCUGUCAUCCCGGUUACAAAACGGUGAUGUAAUCCUCCCCUGGUAGAGUGGAGGGAAAAGCUUACUAAUAGGACUCCUUUGACUUUACACCUCCCACAAUGUGAGUGCAUCAAUUGCAGGGGAGUUGAACGGUUUGACCUUCAAAUGUAUCGAAAAUGCACUUCAACAGACCUGUUUUUACACUUCACAAUGCACCAUACUUUUUAACAUAAGCUAUACUAAGUGUACAAAUGUGAAUAAAAAGAGGAUGACUGUUUUUAUA
Notolabrus celidotus (New Zealand spotty) is the source of this 1026-nucleotide long non-coding RNA. RefSeq lists it as uncharacterized. The transcript is spliced from 2 exons. The record is from RefSeq and is a predicted model, not a curated record. NCBI's taxonomy places the organism in Eukaryota, Metazoa, Chordata, Actinopteri, Labriformes, Labridae.